This 207-nucleotide long non-coding RNA is filed under the name Mytilus galloprovincialis (Mediterranean mussel). Lineage: Eukaryota; Metazoa; Mollusca; Bivalvia; Mytilida; Mytilidae. The record is from RNAcentral.
GGAAGUUUUGUUUUAAUUGCUGAUGGGCCGCGAUGGCUAACCGGACAGUAUAGAUGUAAUAACAGCGAUAUGGCUUGUGGAAGAACUGGCUCCAGAAAAAUAGUAUCUUCCCAUGGUCUGGUAUAUAUAAUGUACAUUUUUAAUGUGUUUACAUUUUACUUGCAGAGAUACAAACUGUAUGGCUUGUGGAAGAACCAGACUCCAGAA